RNAcentral lists this long non-coding RNA (1828 nucleotides) under Malassezia sympodialis ATCC 42132. Lineage: Eukaryota; Fungi; Basidiomycota; Malasseziomycetes; Malasseziales; Malasseziaceae. The record is from RNAcentral.
CGCCAUCGCACGUUGCCAGGGCAUGCCGCCGACGAGCGCGGAGGAGCCUCCUGUGUCCGAGGCAGCCGAGUUGACGGCGGCCUGCGUGCCGAUGAGCGGGGAUGCGGUAAGUCCGCGGACGCUUCCUGCGGAUGGCUCGGAGGCCGAGGCGUCCACGUCGAGCCCGGGCGUGCUACAUGUGGCGGACCUGUGUGGCCCGAGCGUCGUGCCGCAGCGGCGGCGUGCGUCGGACGACGACAGCUCACAAGCGGACGAGCCGGAGACGACGGGGCGGCGCAAGCGGCAUAUUCUCUCCGAGCAGCGGCGGCGCAACCAGAUCCGGGAAGGCUUCAAGAACCUCUCCGACCUCCUUGAUGUGGGGCGCGCGUACGGCGCACGCGCGCUGGGGCUCAAUGCGGGCGCUGGGAUGGGCGUCGAGGACGAAGAGCUCGACGACCGCACCGACACCGAGGAGGAUCUCAUCCUGGGCUGUGACGAGGAGGAGGUGCAGCGGCGCAAGCGCAAUGCUCAGCGGCGCGCGCGCAGUCGCGCCGUCCAAGGCAAGCAGAACCGCGGGCGCGGGCGCGGGCGCGGAGGCAGCGCGGGCGGCGCCGGAAGCAAAUCGGCGGUGCUGUUCCAGGUGAUCGACCUGCUCGACUGGCUCGAGGGGCGCAACGCGGCCCUGGCGCAGGAGAUUGCGCAUCUGGAAGCGCACGCCGAGGCGGGCAUGGCGUACGGUGCGUAUCGGUCGCAGUAGCAGGGUAUGCUAUGACAUCGGAUGCACGGGCACCGCCUCGUAGUCGGUGCGCGCGGAUCCAAAGGGGCCCGACUCGUUCAGGAAGCGGGGGUGCGUGCUGAUCGAGCGGCGCAGGCGCGGCAUCUCGCUGUCCGCCGCGCGGAUUUCGCCCGUGUCCACGUCCUCGUGGGGAACGGGUGCGUGGUGGUCGCCGAAGAGGGCGUCCAUUUCUUCGAGCGGCACGCCCUGUGUCUCGGGAUACAGUGCGUAUACGACUCCGAAGGAGACGAGGCAGCACACGGCGUGCAGCAGGUACAGGCGCCACCCGAUCGUCUCCUGCAGGAUGGGCGUGAGCUGUCCCACGACCCAGUUGAACACCCAGUUGGUGGCCGCCGCGAGCGACGUGCCUUUUGCACGGAAGGCCAGCGGCAUGAUCUCGGGCGUCCACGCCCAGGGGAUCGGGCCCCACGAGUACCCGAACGCCGCAUUGAAGAGCACGACGCAUGCGGCCACGGCCGUCGGCGUGUACGCGCGGUCGGCGCGGAGGAACAGGCCACAUGCGCCGAGUGUCAGUGCACACAGCAGGGCACCCGACAGCAAGAUCGGCCGGCGGCCCCACGAGUCCACGAGGAACCACGUCGGCACGGUCGACAGCACGUACACCGUCGCAUUGAUGCCCGUCAUGAACAGGGCAUCGCGCCCGACCCAGCCUGCGCUCUCGAACACGAGCGGCGCAUAGUACGAGAUGACGUUGAUGCCAUUCAGCUGCGCGAGCAUCUGCGACGACAUACCCAGGAGCGUGCGCGCACGCAGCCGCUGCCACAGCGCGCGGUACGAGCGGUCGCCCUGUGCGCGCAUCUGCCGCACCGUCGUCUGGAUCUCCCAGAACUCGAGCUUGGCGCGGGCGUGCCGCGGAUCGGCCGUGCCGUUCAGGUCCACGAGCACCCGCAUCGCCUCCGCGUCGCGAUCCACGUCGCAGAGCCACCUUGGGCUCUCUGGUAGCAGCGUCGCUCCAUAGAGCAGCACGCCGCCGAUCAAGGGCUGCACAGCCAGCGGCAGGCGCCAUGCCCAGCCGUUCUGCAGGAAGCUGCACACGUAGCCCAUCCACACACU